AAACAACUGUUAUCAAGUCUGCACUUAAACAAUCUCCGCACUACGUCAUAAAUAGGCCAUGAGGGGUUAAAUUCGUUUUUAUUUUCAGUUUGCAUCAGCUGUAUAGCAUGAUAUGCAUUUCAUCAUAAGUAACAUCUAAAAUAUCAGCCAGAAUAAAUUCAUGAAUAUACAAAUAGACCGAUGAAAUCAUUUCUCAAAUUCAUGUAAAAUCACCGGGGAAAAAGU
Molecule: long non-coding RNA, 225 nt
Filed under: Lathyrus oleraceus (garden pea)
Lineage: Eukaryota; Viridiplantae; Streptophyta; Magnoliopsida; Fabales; Fabaceae
Description: Pisum sativum (pea) long non-coding RNA (PSAT_LNC006964)
Source: RNAcentral